RNAcentral lists this ribosomal RNA (1033 nucleotides) under uncultured organism. RNAcentral describes it as "bacterial SSU rRNA". It matches the Rfam family "Bacterial small subunit ribosomal RNA", at positions 102 to 1183 of the family's 1533-position model. The record is from RNAcentral.
ACGGGUGAGUAACACGUAGGUAACCUACCCCAGAGACAGGGAUAACCCUAGGAAACGAGGGCUAAUACCGGAUGACCUCCGGAAGGAGGAAAGGCUCAGGCGCUCUGGGAGGGGCUUGCGGCCCAUCAGCUAGUUGGUAGGGUAAAGGCCUACCAAGGCGAAGACGGGUAGGGGGUGUGAGAGCACGGCCCCCCACAAUGGGACUGAAACACGGCCCAUACUCCUACGGGAGGCAGCAGCAGGGAAUAUUGCACAAUAGGCGAAAGCCUGAUGCAGCGACGCCGCGUGAGUGAAGAAGGCCUUCGGGUCGUAAAGCUCUUUUGUAGGGGAAGAGGAAGGACGGUACCCUAAGAAGAAGCGUCGGCUAACUACGUGCCAGCAGCCGCGGUAAGACGUAGGACGCGAGCGUUAUCCGGAAUUACUGGGCGUAAAGGGCCAGCAGGCGGCUUGGUAAGUUGUGCGUGAAAGCCUCGUGCUCAACGCGAGGAAGCCGGACAAUACUGUCAAGCUAGAGGGCAUCAGAGGGGAGUGGAAUUCCCGGAGUAGCGGUAAAAUGCGCAGAUAUCGGGAGGAACACCGAUGGCGAAGGCAGCUCCCUGGGAUGCACCUGACGCUAAGAGGCGAAAGCUAGGGGAGCGAACAGGAUUAGAGACCCUGGUAGUCCUAGCUGUAAACGCUGGGUGCUAGGUGUGGGACGUAGAAGUUCCGUGCCGGAGCAAACGCGAUAAGCACCCCGCCUGGGAAUUACGGUCGCAAGGCUAAAACUCAAACGAAUUGACGGGGCCCCGCACAAGCAGCGGAGCGUGUGGUUCAAUUCGAUGCUACACGAAGAACCUUACCUGGGUUUGACAUGUACGUGGUACGAAGGCGAAAGCCUAAGGACCCUUCGGGGAGCGUACACAGGUGCUGCAUGGCUGUCGUCAGCUCGUGCCGUGAGGUGUGGGUUAAGUCCAGUAACGAGCGCAACCCUUGCCCUUAGUUACAAGUGUGUAAGGGGACUGCCGGCGGGAAGCCGGAGGAAGGUGGGGACGAC